Molecule: ribosomal RNA, 178 nt
Filed under: Bacillus thuringiensis serovar dakota
Lineage: Bacteria; Bacillati; Bacillota; Bacilli; Caryophanales; Bacillaceae
Description: partial 16S ribosomal RNA
Rfam family: Bacterial small subunit ribosomal RNA
Source: RNAcentral
CUUUAUUGGAGAGUUUGAUCCUGGCUCAGGAUGAACGCUGGCGGCGUGCCUAAUACAUGCAAGUCGAGCGAAUGGAUUGAGAGCUUGCUCUCAAGAAGUUAGCGGCGGACGGGUGAGUAACACGUGGGUAACCUGCCCAUAAGACUGGGAUAACUCCGGGAAACCGGGGCUAAUACCG